Triticum aestivum (bread wheat) is the source of this 2041-nucleotide long non-coding RNA. RefSeq lists it as uncharacterized. The transcript has 5 exons. Lineage: Eukaryota; Viridiplantae; Streptophyta; Magnoliopsida; Poales; Poaceae. The record is from RefSeq and is a predicted model, not a curated record.
GAUUGUUGUUGGACCCUACAGAUGUAAUUCUUGAGCUCUAUCUAAACGUGUUUAUAUAUAGGUAUGCUUGCAUUGACACCUAAUCAGAAUAGGUUUUUAGAAUUAAUCUAUAGUUUGUUAACAAAAUUGGUAAGCCAUUGCAGCCAUCUAAUUGGUGGUAUGGUGUGCUUCUGACAGUAUUUCACGGCGUUUGUACCAGCGGCAUAGUAACUAAAAACUACCGUGAACACAGCUUAUUAUUUAUUGUUUCUGGAGGGCCUCACGGAUGAGCUAUUCAUCGGCGGCACCCUGCCAGUCGUUUAGAGGAUCUGCGGGAACAAAUGAACAAGCAGAGUGUCAUAAGUCAGGGACCAGCAUCCAUGCCAACUGCCCGGGAUGACUGCUAAGGCAAUUCAUAUUCUCUCUCAAUCGUCAGCCACCAUAUGAUGUUAAUUGAUCUUGAUCUUCCCCACUCGCCAGUUCUGAAGACACUUCGGAUCUCACAUUAACUUCAUUCAGUCUUUAAGAAUAACCAUAGUAAUAUGCAUCUCAAAGCUAUGGCUCAUGCGCCCAUACAAAAAAGGACAACUGACUAGAUUGAGGAUACGUUAUGGCAAGAAGGCUAUAUAUUCAUGGUGAUCUUAACCCCACUCUUGACUUUUUAACCGAUGCCCAUAGGAAACAUAAUUAGGCAUUUGUAAUCAUGAAAGUUUCUUUCAUCAUGCUUUCCAUAAUAUAGUGAAAUUUGACAACAAAAUUAUUUUCUGUGCUGCUACGUAGUCAAUUCAGUGUGUGUAGAAGAUGUUGUCGUGGGUGUGCAGAGUAUGCGGUGCAUGGCUUCUUGUGUUUGUGUGUGUGUGUUCUUAUAUGUUAAUUGGUGGCUGGUGUGUGUGCGCGCAGGGUGUGAAUGGGGACAAGUAGGCGGCGUGUAUACUACACCAAGGAGCGAUACAUGGCAUGAAGCAAGCAAGCGAGCAGGUGUACACAGCGACCUGCUACUACACUAAUAGCCUUGACAGAGCACCGGGGCCGGCUCGACAGGGCAUUCGGCCGCCGGCGGACCCUGGAUGUGCGCGAUGGAGAUGAACCCCGCGUCGUCGCCUCUGCAGCCUGGAUAGAGCUCCGUCAGUGCUGGUGAUGAACCCCACGUCUGUGCUGGUGAUGGCGCUGUCCAUCUACUUUCUCCACUGGCUGUCAGACAAUAGAGAUCACAUUGUGGAUUUAUGUUUUCUUCAGAGUGUUCUCCCGUCAUUGUUGGAUGUCGAAUUUGUAAGGCAAUCCGUCUCUAUGUCGAUGUCUUAACCACUUCGUACUUCCGCACAAUUAGCAGAACAGAGCAGUUGCCGCAAUUUACCCAUUGAUUUCUUGGACUGAUUCAGACCUAGGAAAGCCUGCUACUUGUGCAAGCAAUAGGAAACCACUUCAACUAGCCUAGGACCAUCUCUGGUCCAACGCGCGAGGUGCCUACCGAGUGCCUCCCCAGCUUAACGGUCCCAAACCUAAGCGAUUAGAUACGAAGUCUACUCAGCAGGAGGAGCAUGAACAGUUGUGAAGGAGAACCCCACUGCCUUGGACCAGGUUGCUGAACCAGAAGCAGAAGGUGCGAGGGGCACUGUUCAGAUCUUUCACAGUAUCUUUAGGAAUGAAGCCAUGAGGAUGCUACCUAUUCUUUCCUUUCAAUUAUCCGGCACUACGAGCUGCAUUAGCUUCACCUCAGGAUGUUGAAAGAGGAAGUAGGAGUUUUCAGAAAUGAUAAUCUACAAACACAGUACAUGUUCGUUGAUUAACGAAGACAAGGGCCCUACAACUCAACUGUUGUAACACCUAUUUUUACAAUGUAGGGUAUGAACUACUUGGCUUUAUUUUUAACUUAUGUACUGAUGUAGAAUGAUGGCUCCUGUUUCUUACUCGCUGGUAUGAGCUUUUUUGUUGUAUUUUGUAAAGCUCAUGUAUUUACUCAUCUAUGCUAACUAGCAUUGCUACAACAUUUGUAUACUCUAAUAAUUAUACUUCCCUUGCCGUUGGCAGGGCUUUUUUUUGUAUAAUUGCUCAUACUUAUCAA